GUCAACUCUAACUCCAGGAACGGGAAGACAAGCGGCGGUAUCGCCUUCAUCCAACAGCCGACAAAUCUGGAGCGGAUGCUAGCAGGCUAACCACUGGGGCCCCAUGACAAUAUUUACUUGAGUUGUCUUCCCAUGAAGCAAUACGGCGGCACCGGCGACAGUCCGCCCUCUGCUGCCGUGGUCCACAGUGACGAUUUCUGCAAAAU
Molecule: long non-coding RNA, 206 nt
Organism: Hippocampus comes (tiger tail seahorse)
Lineage: Eukaryota; Metazoa; Chordata; Actinopteri; Syngnathiformes; Syngnathidae
Exons: 2
Source: RefSeq, a predicted model, not a curated record